Molecule: long non-coding RNA, 1044 nt
Filed under: Cyanistes caeruleus (blue tit)
Lineage: Eukaryota; Metazoa; Chordata; Aves; Passeriformes; Paridae
Description: lncRNA (ENSCCEG00000012378.1)
Source: RNAcentral
AUGCCCUCACCCACUGGACCAAAGCAUUCGGAAGCACAUGGAAUGCCUGAUACGCUCAGCUGCACAGUCAUCUUACAGGAGGACAAAGUCCACAGGCCAGCCGAAGAGGCUUCAGCAGCCUGGGACCCUUUUUCUGUGAAGGCCACCGGCUUCGCCCCCGCAGCAGCACCACUCGAGCCAAUGGUAAACAGUGCAGGACCUUGGUCUGCCGCGGCCGCAGGAGGCGACGGGAGAGGGCUGCCUCCAGCCGCAGGCUCGGGUGAUGCCUGGGAACCCAAGGCGGGGUGGGUUGGAGCCAGCUCGGCAUGGCCCGUCUCCAGCGCCAGUAGAGGCACAGCCUGCAAAGCCGCGGCACCAUCCUGCUCGGCUGCCAGGGGACAACCCGGGCUCGCAGGAGGGGAAACCCGCAGCAUGGGGCCGGCAGAACCCGGCCCGGCGUCCACACCACUCACAGCACCCAUCCCCAAGCCCCCCGAAUCCGGCACGGGGGGGGCAGCGCUUGGAACCACCCCUAACAGCGUUUCUUCAGGGGCGAAAAGUCCAAGAAGCAGCGCUGGCCCCUCCUCUGCUGGAACAGCCUGCGCGGCCGCCGGCGAGGGGCCUGGGCCUGGCCCAUCCCCCACCGUGGGGCAGGGCACGGCCCAGCCGCAGCAGGGACAUGGGACCAACCCUGAGGUAUCCCCCAGGGCCGGCGCUGCCCCCCGUUCAGGCAGCCCCUCAUCGGUCUGCGCUGGGAGGGCACACGAAGGAGGUGACCCCGCCCCGGGCUUCCAUCGUCAGGGUGCGGGCCGAGGCGGGGUUACACCCCCCCAUUCCACGGCGCCCCCAACAUUCCCGUUGGCAAGGAUCCAACCCCGCCUCAGGCUUCCACUGCCGGGGCUCUGGCUGAGGCAAGGGUCACAUCCACCGGUCCCACAGUGGCCCCGUUCAACCCGCCGGGGGCCCCAGCAAUCCCGGGGGAGCCGACAUCGGGACCCAACUUCAGAACGCCACCGCACCUUCGCCAGAUCCCCAGCAGCCGGACCAGUCGGGGCUCAUAACUGA